This 230-nucleotide ribosomal RNA is filed under the name uncultured bacterium. Its description in RNAcentral is "partial 16S ribosomal RNA". It matches the Rfam family "Bacterial small subunit ribosomal RNA", at positions 563 to 791 of the family's 1533-position model. The record is from RNAcentral.
UAAGCGUGCGCAGGCGGCUUUGCAAGACAGAGGUGAAAUCCCCGGGCUCAACCUGGGAACUGCCUUUGUGACUGCAAGGCUAGAGUACGGCAGAGGGAGAUGGAAUUCCGCGUGUAGCAGUGAAAUGCGUAGAUAUGCGGAGGAACACCGAUGGCGAAGGCAAUCUCCUGGGCCUGUACUGACGCUCAUGCACGAAAGCGUGGGGAGCAAACAGGAUUAGAUACCCCUGU